RNAcentral lists this unclassified non-coding RNA (333 nucleotides) under soil metagenome. RNAcentral describes it as "partial contains 5.8S ribosomal RNA, internal transcribed spacer 2, and large subunit ribosomal RNA". The stretch from base 1 to 120 matches the Rfam family "5.8S ribosomal RNA", at positions 35 to 154 of the family's 154-position model. The record is from RNAcentral.
GAUGAAGAACGUAGCGAAAUGCGAUAAGUAAUGUGAAUUGCAGAAUUCAGUGAAUCAUCGAAUCUUUGAACGCACAUUGCGCCCCCCAGUAUUCUGGCGGGCAUGCCUGUUCGAGCGUCAUUUCAACCAUCAAGCCCUGCUUGUGUUGGGGUCCUGCGGCUGCCCGCAGGCCCUGAAAACCAGUGGCGGGCUCGCUGUCACACCGAGCGCAGUAGCACAUCUCGCUCAGGGCGUGCGGCGGGCUCCAGCCGUUAAAGCACCCACCUUUCGCAAGGUUGACCUCGGAUCAGGUAGGAAUACCCGCUGAACUUAAGCAUAUCAAUAAGCGGAGGA